AGAGUUUGAUCCUGGCUCAGGACGAACGCUGGCGGCGUGCUUAACACAUGCAAGUCGAGCGGGGUGAUCUCUUCGGAGAGAUCCUAGCGGCGGACGGGUGAGAGUAACACGUGAGUAACCUGCCCUAUGGAGGGGGAUAACACAAAGAAAUUUGUGCUAAUACCGCAUAAAACUGAUGCUUCGCAUGGAGUGUCAGUCAAAGAUUUAUCGCCAUAGGAUGGACUCGCGGCGCAUUAGCUAGUUGGUGAGGUAACGGCUCACCAAGGCGACGAUGCGUAGCCGACCUGAGAGGGUGAUCGGCCACAUUGGAACUGAGACACGGUCCAGACUCCUACGGGAGGCAGCAGUGGGGAAUAUUGCACAAUGGGCGAAAGCCUGAUGCAGCAACGCCGCGUGAGCGAUGAAGGCCUUCGGGUUGUAAAGCUCUGUCUUUGGGGACGAUAAUGACGGUACCCAAGGAGGAAGCCACGGCUAACUACGUGCCAGCAGCCGCGGUAAUACGUAGGUGGCAAGCGUUGUCCGGAUUUACUGGGCGUAAAGAGAGCGUAGGCGGACUUUUAAGUGGGAUGUGAAAUACUCGGGCUCAACCCGAGUGCUGCAUUCCAAACUGGAAGUCUAGAGUGCAGAAGGGGCAACUGGAAUUCCUAGUGUAGCGGUGAAAUGCGUAGAUAUUAGGAGGAACACCAGUGGCGAAGGCGACUUACUGGACUGUAACUGACACUGAGGCUCGAAAGCGUGGGGAUCAAACAGGAUUAGAUACCCUGGUAGUCCACGCCGUAAACGAUGAGUGCUAAGUGUUAGGGGGUUUCCGCCCCUUAGUGCUGCAGCUAACGCAUUAAGCACUCCGCCUGGGGAGUACGACCGCAAGGUUGAAACUCAAAGGAAUUGACGGGGACCCGCACAAGCGGUGGAGCAUGUGGUUUAAUUCGAAGCAACGCGAAGAACCUUACCAAAUCUUGACAUCCUCUGACCCCUCUAGAGAUAGAGUUUUCCCCUUCGGGGGACAGAGUGACAGGUGGUGCAUGGUUGUCGUCAGCUCGUGUCGUGAGAUGUUGGGUUAAGUCCCGCAACGAGCGCAACCCUUAAGCUUAGUUGCCAUCAUUAAGUUGGGCACUCUAAGUUGACUGCCGGUGACAAACCGGAGGAAGGUGGGGAUGACGUCAAAUCAUCAUGCCCCUUAUGAUUUGGGCUACACACGUGCUACAAUGGACAAUACAAAGGGUAGCGAAACCGCGAGGUCAAGCAAAUCCCAUAAAGUUGUUCUCAGUUCGGAUUGUAGUCUGCAACUCGACUAUAUGAAGCUGGAAUCGCUAGUAAUCGUAGAUCAGCAUGCUACGGUGAAUACGUUCCCGGGUCUUGUACACACCGCCCGUCACACCACGAGAGUUUGUAACACCCGAAGCCGGUGGAGUAACCAUUUGGAGCUAGCCGUCGAAGGUGGGACAAAUGAUUGGGGUGAAGUCGUAACAAGGUAACCU
This 1478-nucleotide ribosomal RNA is filed under the name uncultured bacterium. RNAcentral's name for it is "partial 16S ribosomal RNA". It matches the Rfam family "Bacterial small subunit ribosomal RNA". The record is from RNAcentral.